RNAcentral lists this ribosomal RNA (477 nucleotides) under uncultured bacterium. Its description in RNAcentral is "bacterial SSU rRNA". It matches the Rfam family "Bacterial small subunit ribosomal RNA", at positions 365 to 832 of the family's 1533-position model. The record is from RNAcentral.
UUCGCAAUGCCCGAAAGGGUGACGAAGCGACGCCGCGUGUGGGAAGAAGGCCUUCGGGUUGUAAACCGCUGUUGGGAGUUAGGAAGUGUGGGAGUGUUAAUAGCGCUUCCACUUGACUAAAGCUCCAGAGGAAGCCACGGCUAACUCUGUGCCAGCAGCCGCGGUAAUACAGAGGCGGCAAGCGUUGUUCGGAAUUAUUGGGCGUAAAGAGCACGUAGGCGGCUAUGUAAGUCGGUUGUGAAAGCCUUCCGCUCAACGGGAGAACAGCAUCCGAUACUACAUGGCUUGAGUGCGGGAGGGGAGAGUGGAACUUCUGGUGGAGCGGUGAAAUGCGUAGAUAUCAGAAGGAACGCCGGCGGCGAAAGCGGCUCUCUGGCCCAUAACUGACGCUGAGUGUGCGAAAGCUAGGGGAGCAAACGGGAUUAGAUACCCCGGUAGUCCUAGCCGUAAACGAUGGGCACUAAGUAGAGGGGUUUU